UGGGGAAUUUUGGACAAUGGGGGCAACCCUGAUCCAGCCAUGCCGCGUGAGUGAAGAAGGCCUUCGGGUUGUAAAGCUCUUUCGGCCGGGAAGAAAUCGUGCAGGCUAAUACCCUGUAUGGAUGACGGUACCGGAAUAAGAAGCACCGGCUAACUACGUGCCAGCAGCCGCGGUAAUACGUAGGGUGCGAGCGUUAAUCGGAAUUACUGGGCGUAAAGCGUGCGCAGGCGGUUUUGUAAGACAGGCGUGAAAUCCCCGGGCUCAACCUGGGAACUGCGCUUGUGACUGCAAGACUAGAGUACGGCAGAGGGGGGUGGAAUUCCACGUGUAGCAGUGAAAUGCGUAGAGAUGUGGAGGAACACCAAUGGCGAAGGCAGCCCCCUGGGUCGAUACUGACGCUCAUGCACGAAAGCGUGGGGAGCAAACA
Molecule: ribosomal RNA, 427 nt
Filed under: uncultured prokaryote
Description: bacterial SSU rRNA
Rfam family: Bacterial small subunit ribosomal RNA
Source: RNAcentral